AAAUGUAACAAAAGAAUGUGUGUAUAUUGUAAGCACUCACCCAGCGGAUGAUGAUGCUGCUGCUGGGGCUGCUGCUGCUGUGGCUGUGGAUCUGUCCUGGUCGCCGCAUCAUUUGUGACUGUUCAGAACGAUUUAUGCUAAUAACCGCCUCUGUCAAGGUGACUGGAUGGAUGAGCAACGCCACAACAGCCAGCCCAGGCAGCGACUUGACUCAGAAAUUCGUGGCAUGGCGGCGGCUCGGCUCUCUGAAGUUAUUUUCUCACGCACGGCUCGCAAUAUGCAGCCCUGACAACUUAAGUGUUUUUGGGCCUGGCUGUGGAAUCGGGGAAAACUACGGAGUCGCCAAGUGCCCGGACAACGGAGGCAAACAAGGACAAGUGCUGGAAAACGUUUCAUCGCAACGCAGACACUGGGCAAGUGCUUCAAAACUCGGUGCCGCAGUCCCAUCGAAGACGGAAAGCCGACUGCUAUGACACAUCUAUUUAAAUUUAAAAUUUAGAAUCUGGUUUUUUCUUGGGGAACUUUGUAUUUACUUAUCCAUUUUACCCAUUUUCCUGUAAACACAU
Long non-coding RNA from Drosophila pseudoobscura, 566 nucleotides. RefSeq lists it as uncharacterized. NCBI's taxonomy places the organism in Eukaryota, Metazoa, Arthropoda, Insecta, Diptera, Drosophilidae. The record is from RefSeq and is a predicted model, not a curated record. The transcript has 3 exons.